GACGAACGCUGGCGGCGUGCUCAACACAUGCAAGUCGAACGGAAAAGCCCUGCUUUUGUGGGGUGCUCGAGUGGCGAACGGGUGAGUAACACGUGAGUAACCUGCCCUUGACUUUGGGAUAACUUCAGGAAACUGGGGCUAAUACCGGAUAGGAGCUCCUGCUGCAUGGUGGGGGUUGGAAAGUUUCGGCGGUUGGGGAUGGACUCGCGGCUUAUCAGCUUGUUGGUGGGGUAGUGGCUUACCAAGGCUUUGACGGGUAGCCGGCCUGAGAGGGUGACCGGCCACAUUGGGACUGAGAUACGGCCCAGACUCCUACGGGAGGCAGCAGUGGGGAAUAUUGCACAAUGGGCGGAAGCCUGAUGCAGCAACGCCGCGUGCGGGAUGACGGCCUUCGGGUUGUAAACCGCUUUCGCCUGUGACGAAGCGUGAGUGACGGUAAUGGGUAAAGAAGCACCGGCUAACUACGUG
This 468-nucleotide ribosomal RNA is filed under the name uncultured bacterium. Its description in RNAcentral is "partial 16S ribosomal RNA". It matches the Rfam family "Bacterial small subunit ribosomal RNA", at positions 28 to 507 of the family's 1533-position model. The record is from RNAcentral.